AUGGCGGAAACAGAGGGAUGCGAGCCGGUGACGGCAAGNGACCCCAAAAACACCGUCCCAGUUCGGACUGUAGUCUGCAACCCGACUACACGAAGCCGGAAUCGCUAGUAAUCGCGGAUCAGAAUGCCGCGGUGAAUACGUUCCCGGGUCUUGUACACACCGCCCGUCACACCAUGGGAGUCGGAAAUGCCCGAAGUCAGUGACCCAACCGGAAGGAAGGAGCUGCCGAAGGUGGAGCCGGUAACUGGGGUGAAGUCGUAACAAGGUAUC
This 270-nucleotide ribosomal RNA is filed under the name uncultured bacterium. RNAcentral describes it as "partial 16S ribosomal RNA". It matches the Rfam family "Bacterial small subunit ribosomal RNA", at positions 1230 to 1500 of the family's 1533-position model. The record is from RNAcentral.